Molecule: long non-coding RNA, 332 nt
Filed under: Equus caballus (horse)
Lineage: Eukaryota; Metazoa; Chordata; Mammalia; Perissodactyla; Equidae
Description: lncRNA (ENSECAG00000051481.1)
Source: RNAcentral
AGGAAUUAUAAAUAGCUGCCCCGUGAAAUAUUCGUCUCCUGAUUCCUGAGAGGGCGCUUCUGUGAAAAGAAAGAAGGCAGAUAACUGGAUUCCUUGUAAACAUGCUGAAAACUGACCUUUUGGUAUAUAGACUAAAGGUGAAGGUAAAUAAACUGGGAUACUUCCACACAAUGGAGUAUUAUUCAUCACUGAGAAGAAGUGAGCUAUCAAGCCAUGAAAAGACAGGCAGGAACAUUGACUGCAUAUUAUCAAGUAAAAGAAGCAAAUCUCAAAAGCCUACAUACUGCGCCAUUCCAACCAUAUGACAUUCUGGAAAAGGCACAACUAUGGGG